CAGUAGCCGCGGGAAUACGAAGGGGGCUAGCGUUGUUCGGAAUCACUGGGCGUAAAGGGUGCGUAGGCGGAUUCUUAAGUCAGGGGUGAAAUCCCGAGGCUCAACCUCGGAACUGCCUUUGAUACUGGGGAUCUUGAGUCCGGAAGAGGUGAGUGGAACUGCGAGUGUAGAGGUGAAAUUCGUAGAUAUUCGCAAGAACACCGGUGGCGAAGGCGGCUCACUGGUCCGGAACUGACGCUGAGGCACGACAGCGUGGGGAGCAAACAGGAUUAGAGACCCCUGUAGUCCCUGUCUCUUAUAC
Molecule: ribosomal RNA, 301 nt
Filed under: uncultured bacterium
Lineage: Bacteria
Description: partial 16S ribosomal RNA
Rfam family: Bacterial small subunit ribosomal RNA
Source: RNAcentral